GGGAUUGUGGCUCAGUGGUAGAGCAUUUGCUUGUUAUGCAGAAUGUUCUAGGUUCAAUCCCCAGCAUUUCCA
Non-coding RNA from Heteronotia binoei (common prickly gecko), 72 nucleotides. The record is from the annotation of a RefSeq genome assembly. NCBI's taxonomy places the organism in Eukaryota, Metazoa, Chordata, Lepidosauria, Squamata, Gekkonidae.